UACGGAGGGUGCAAACGUUGCUCGGAAUCAUUGGGCGUAAAGCGCACGUAGGCGGUCCAGCAAGUCGGGUGUGAAAUCCCUCGGCUUAACCGAGGAAGUGCAAACGAAACUACUGGACUUGAAUACUGAAGAGGAUCGCGGAAUUCCCGGUGUAGAGGUGAAAUUCGUAGAUAUCGGGAGGAACACCAGUGGCGAAGGCGGCGAUCUGGGCAGAUAUUGACGCUGAGGUGCGAAAGCGUGGGGAGCAAACAGG
RNAcentral lists this ribosomal RNA (253 nucleotides) under uncultured bacterium. Its description in RNAcentral is "partial 16S ribosomal RNA". It matches the Rfam family "Bacterial small subunit ribosomal RNA", at positions 524 to 776 of the family's 1533-position model. The record is from RNAcentral.